GAUGAAGAACGCAGCGAAAUGCGAUAAGUAAUGUGAAUUGCAGAAUUCAGUGAAUCAUCGAAUCUUUGAACGCACAUUGCGCCCCUUGGUAUUCCGGGGGGCAUGCCUGUUCGAGCGUCAUUAUCACCCCUCAAGCUCAGCUUGGUGUUGGGGCCUGCCUGUCACAGGGCAGCCCUUAAAAGCAGUGGCGGUGCCAUCUGGCUCUACGCGUAGUAAUACUUCUCGCUAUAGAGUCCCGGUGGAUGCUUGCCAUUAACCCCCAAUUUUCUAUGGUUGACCUCGGAUCAGGUAGGGAUACCCGCUGAACUUAAGCAUAUCAAUAAGCGGAGGA
Molecule: unclassified non-coding RNA, 331 nt
Filed under: soil metagenome
Description: partial contains 5.8S ribosomal RNA, internal transcribed spacer 2, and large subunit ribosomal RNA
Rfam family: 5.8S ribosomal RNA (bases 1-120)
Source: RNAcentral